RNAcentral lists this ribosomal RNA (1408 nucleotides) under Halalkalibacterium halodurans. RNAcentral describes it as "Bacillus halodurans partial 16S ribosomal RNA". It matches the Rfam family "Bacterial small subunit ribosomal RNA". Lineage: Bacteria; Bacillati; Bacillota; Bacilli; Caryophanales; Bacillaceae. The record is from RNAcentral.
ACAUUACUGGAAAAUGGCUCCUCUAUAUAAUAUACUUAAGGGGUGAGUAACACGUGGGCAACCUGCCUGUAGACUGGGAUAACAUCGAGAAAUCGGUGCUAAUACCGGAUAAUAAAAAGAACUGCAGGUUCUUUUUUGAAAGAUGGUUUCGGCUAUCACUUACAGAUGGGCCCGCGGCGCACUAGCUAGUUGGUGGGGUAACGGCUCACCAAGGCGACAUGCGUAGCCCACCUGAGAGGGUGAUCGGCCACACUGGGACUGAGACACGGCCCAACUCCUACGGGAGGCAGCAGUAGGGAAUCUUCCGCAAUGGACGAAAGUCUGACGGAGCAACGCCUCGCGAGUGAUGAAGGUUUUCGGAUCGUAAAACUCUAUUGUUAGGGAAGAACAAGUGCCGUUCGAAAGGGCGGCACCUUGACGGUGCCUAACGAGAAAGCCACGGCUAACUACAUGCCAGCAGCCGCGGUAAUACGUAUGUGGCAAGCGUUGUCCGGAAUUAUUGGGCGUAAAGCGCGCGCAGGCGGUCUCUUAAGUCUGAUGUGAAAGCCCCCGGCUCAACCGGGGAGGGUCAUUGGAAACUGGGAGACUUGAGUACAGAAGAGGAGAGUGGAAUUCCACGUGUAGCGGUGAAAUGCGUAGAGAUGUGGAGGAACACCAGUGGCGAACGCGACUCUCUGGUCUGUAACUGACGCUCAGGCGCGAAGCGUGCGGAGCAGACAGGAUCAGAUACCCUGGUACUCCACGCCUUAACGAUGAGUGCUAUGUGUUAGGGGUUUCGAUGCCCUCAGUGCCGAAGUUGACACCUUAAUGCACUACGACCGGGGCAGUACGACCGCAGGGUCGAUCCUCAUCAGAAUUAGACAGAGCGGCCCGCACACGCUUGCAGCAAGAUGAUUUCAUUACGAAGCACGCGACGUACCUUAACAGUCUGACAUGCAUUGACUACCCUAGAGAUAUGUGCUUUCCCCUUCGGGGGACAAAGUGACAGGUGGUGCAUGGUGGUCGUCAGCUCGUGUCGUGAGAUGUUGGGUUAAGUCCCGCAACGAGCGCAACCCUUGACCUUAGUUGCCAGCAUUCAGUUGGGCACUCUAAGGUGACGCCGGUGACAAACCGGAGGAAGGUGGGGAUGACGUCAAAUCAUCAUGCCCCUUAUGACCUGGGCUACACACGUGCUACAAUGGAUGGUACAAAGGGUUGCGAAGCCGCGAGGUGAAGCCAAUCCCAGAAAGCCAUUCUCAGUUCGGAUUGCAGGCUGCAACUCGCCUGCAUGAAGCCGGAAUUGCUGGUAAUCGCGGAUCAGCAUGCCGCGGUGAAUACGUUCCCGGGCCUUGUACACACCGCCCGUCACACCACAAGAGUUUGUAUCUCCCGUAAGCCGUUGGGGUAGCUCAUCUCAGUAGCCCCCAAA